GUGCGGGCUAGCCUGGAGGGUUAGGCGUCCUCUGUAACUCGAAAUCGCCGAUAUGCGAGAGGCGAAGCUUGAGGAAGGCUCCGUAGCUAUCAAUUUCAGCUCAGGGUUGGACGAAGAAGCAUCGCCCUGCGGGGUUGGCGGUGGUAUGAUAACAGGCUGGAGAGUCUGCUACCAUGCCUUUCCCAUGGAUACCGGUUUAGGCCCGGAAGGGAGCAGACUUACUGUGGACGCUGGCGCUCGGAGGAUAGUGGUGUGGAGAAAGACCUUGAGGGUCUGGUUGAUGGCGAAGGUCUCGACCGAGGGCGUGCCCGCAC
This 314-nucleotide signal recognition particle RNA is filed under the name Candidatus Methanophagales archaeon. Its description in RNAcentral is "signal recognition particle sRNA". It matches the Rfam family "Archaeal signal recognition particle RNA". The record is from RNAcentral. Lineage: Archaea; Methanobacteriati; Methanobacteriota; Methanomicrobia; Candidatus Methanophagales.